This is a long non-coding RNA of Tachysurus fulvidraco (yellow catfish), 756 nucleotides long. RefSeq lists it as uncharacterized. The record is from RefSeq and is a predicted model, not a curated record. The transcript has 3 exons. Lineage: Eukaryota; Metazoa; Chordata; Actinopteri; Siluriformes; Bagridae.
AUGAAAGGCAAACUUUCUUACCAACAAGCAGAACAAAACAGCGGUCGGUAACGUGUGCCGAGGCGAAACGACUCAGAGGAGACUUUCAUAGGAACCCGAAGAAGAAUGAGAGACAGGAAGGAUCUUUCAGACGGAAGACGCCGAGUGAUGGACGGAAGACGCCGAGUGAUGGGCGGAAGACGCCGAGUGAUGGACGGAAGACGCCGAGUGAUGGACGGAAGACGCCGAGUGAUGGGCGGAAGACGCCGAGUGAUGGACGGAAGACGCCGAGUGAUGGACGGAAGACGCCGAGUGAUGGACUGAGGUCUGGAUAUCAGUUCAACACAUAUUGCAGUGGACAGAAUCAAACAGAACAAGACUCUGCCAUAACCUGCUAGUAAGAGAGAGACAGUGUGAAAGACUGUUUGUAAGUGCUUUCAACACACACACACACACACACACACACACACACACACACACACACACACACACACCUGUGUUAAAACGCUAAGUGUGGCUGAAUAAACUGGAAUCUCUCGAGGCUUUCUUGACUCCCUGACACAAUGAGACUCUAAAGCAAGCUUGAGUCCAUCUGAAUGAAACUUUGGGUGUUUUCCUCCUCAGUGCAGUUCACUUACCGUAAGAAGAUAAAAACACAGGGAUCAGUGUCUGAGACUGAGCGAGAUGGUUUCAGUCCGUUUCUAAAAGACCUCUAGUUUGGUUCGAUUGCAUUGUCUCUGUCUCCUUUAACUCGACCGCAGGAAGUCAAUCGAUCAU